Molecule: long non-coding RNA, 1283 nt
Filed under: Solanum tuberosum (potato)
Lineage: Eukaryota; Viridiplantae; Streptophyta; Magnoliopsida; Solanales; Solanaceae
Description: long non-coding RNA (STUB_LNC008963)
Source: RNAcentral
UGCAAUGGCUUAGAGCAUAUGAUAGCUUAUGAUCAGCAGCGGAGAAAUUUUCAUUGUACACCUCCAACCGUCCAGUAUAAUACAUGUAAGUUACCUUAUCCCUAAGAGGAAACUCCUCGAAAUCGAAAAUGCGGGAAACUUCAAUGCUUCUUGUAACACUUUUACACAAGUGAACUGUUCCGAGCAUAAACUAAAUUUUGAAAAGCUGGCAGGUCACAUACAAAGCUCCAACACGUUUUUAUCCUUUUCCAACAAGGACUCCAAACACUUUCAUGAGAAAUGAGCCAACCCCUUUCAACUUUUCAGGAGUUUUUCCAUUAGAAGCAACUCUCUAUCUGCCCUUUCCGUUAGAAUUCUAGUUUCAUAGGCAAUGAAAUAAAGGGCUUCCAAAGCCCAAUCUGAUUCCCAGUUGUGGAACUCUUGAGUAAAUGCAUUGGCAGCUUUUUCAAAAGCCUGGUAAGAUUCAACCAAGUUUUUGAGUCGAUAACUUUGUAAGGCACGAAAUGGAGGGAGUAGUAUAUUCGCAUACUGAGAGUAUCUAUCAGCCUUUCUCAUUACUCUGCUAGAAUUCUAGAAAGUGAUGAGGGCAUCGGAUAGAGAAACGAGAAAAGAUGAAUUUGAAGAGAUAGAAAAAAUAAGGCAUAGAGACUUGGCGUCUUGAGAUGAAACAACAUCAGAGAAACGAUUUAGGAAGUCAGUAAUAUGUAUGUGAGCUUCUCCCAUGCUUAAAUAGGCUGAAGCCAUUCUUUCUUCUUCAAUCCAAUUGAAGCUUUUGGUUUUGAGCAGAAACCCAAAGAGGUUUAUGUCUUUCUCCGCGACUCACAACAACAAUGACACCACCCUCUAUCUAAGGCUAAAGUUAUCUCCUUCAAUACCCAUUUAUUGUUUAUUUUCUUUUGCAGCCAGGUGAUGUUCCAUGAACUGUUGCAUGUCCUUUCUUGAGUUUGGAUGCUAGUGAAGACUUUUCAUCAAUAAAAGCAAGAUUAACCAACAGUUUUCGUAGUGAUUUCUCGUUCCUUCUAAUCGUAAUGGUUGGGGUGAAUCACACAUUUCAAUAUAGCUUGUAAAACUAAUAGUAAUGAUAUAUUUUUGUGUUUGAAAUAUGUUUUAUUUCUUAAUACUAAUAUGUCCUUUUAGGUUUGGACUGUGAUGUACAUUAAUUAGUCAUUAAUAUUUAAAAUUGAAUAUAAUUAGCAGAAUGCUGUAAAAAUUUACAUGUUCAUGAAUUGCAGGGGUUGAAAACUCUUGUUAAUUUUAAUGUGAAAUUCAUAAAUUGUGGGGGG